Molecule: RNA transcript, 4731 nt
Organism: Mus musculus (house mouse)
Lineage: Eukaryota; Metazoa; Chordata; Mammalia; Rodentia; Muridae
Gene: Colgalt2
Gene name: collagen beta(1-O)galactosyltransferase 2
Exons: 14
Source: RefSeq, marked validated
ACACCUCACAGCUCUGGAGGAAGCCGCAGACCUCAGCUGUACAAGCGCAGCCUGGACUAGGGGAACUUUCCCUGGAACUCGGGAAGAUCAGCCUCCCGGAGUCGACCUGUCUGCAGGGCGGAGCGCGGGGCAAGCGCGGGUGGCAGGGAGUCGGUGCACAGGGGACUCAGGUCAAGGCUGGUCGGCGGCGGGUCCUGCGAGCCUCAGAAAUCAGUGCCGGUGCACGCUCCCGCCGUCCCGGGGCAGCCGCAUCCCCGGCGCCGCUGGCAGCAUCGCCGCCUCCCGCCGGCUACGGAACAUGGCUGCGCGCCUCGCCACUGUCGCCUGCGCGCUGUUCCUGCUGUCCUCCGCCCUGCUCCGCCUCGGCUGCCGGGCGCGCUUCGCCGCCGAGCCCGACUCGGAUGAGGACGGAGAGGAAACGGUGGCGUUCCCCGAGUCGCCCCCGCAGAAACCCACGGUGUUCGUGGUCGUUCUCGCCCGCAACGCUGCGCAUACGCUGCCUUACUUCCUCGGCUGCCUGGAACGGCUGGACUACCCCAAGAGCAGGAUGGCUAUCUGGGCAGCCACUGAUCACAAUGUGGACAAUACAACGGAAAUACUCAGGGAGUGGCUGAAAAGUGUGCAGCGUUUGUAUCACUAUGUGGAGUGGAGGCCUAUGAACGAGCCAGAGUCUUACCCUGAUGAAAUCGGACCAAAGCACUGGCCAAACUCCCGGUUUUCUCACGUCAUGAAACUGCGACAAGCAGCCCUUCGAACUGCGAGGGAAAAAUGGUCAGAUUACAUCCUGUUCAUAGAUGUCGACAACUUCCUGACUAAUCCACAGACCCUGAACCUAAUGAUUGUAGAAAACAAGACCAUCGUGGCGCCCAUGCUGGAGUCCCGGGGUCUAUACUCUAACUUCUGGUGCGGAAUUACGCCUCAGGGCUUCUACAAGCGGACCCCAGACUACCUUCAGAUUAGAGAAUGGAAAAGGAUGGGCUGCUUCCCCGUCCCCAUGGUCCACUCCACCUUCCUGAUUGACCUCAGGAAAGAGGCCUCUGACAAGCUGGCUUUCUACCCCCCACACCAGGACUACACCUGGACCUUUGAUGACAUCAUCGUUUUUGCCUUCUCCAGCAGGCAAGCAGGCAUCCAGAUGUACCUGUGCAACAAGGAACACUAUGGCUACCUGCCCAUCCCUCUGAAGCCCCACCAGACACUGCAGGAGGACGUCGAGAACCUCAUCCAUGUACAGAUAGAAGCAAUGAUUGACCAUCCUCCAAUGGAGCCUUCCCAGUUCGUGUCAGUUGUCCCUAAGUAUCCAGACAAGAUGGGAUUUGAUGAGAUUUUCAUGAUCAACCUCAAACGCAGGAAGGACAGGCGGGACAGGAUGCUGCGCACACUCUACGAACAGGAGAUCGAGGUCAAGAUUGUCGAGGCCGUGGAUGGGAAGGCACUCAACACAAGCCAGCUGAAGGCCUGGAACAUUGAGAUGCUGCCAGGGUACCGGGACCCCUACUCCUCCAGGCCUUUAACCAGGGGUGAAAUUGGUUGCUUCCUUAGUCACUUCUCUGUCUGGAAAGAGGUUAUUGACCGAGAGCUGGAGAAGACUCUGGUCAUCGAGGAUGAUGUGCGCUUUGAGCAUCAGUUUAAGAGGAAGCUGAUGAAGCUGAUGGAGGACAUUGACAAGGCUCAGCUGGACUGGGAACUAAUAUAUCCCCAGAAAUAAGAAGGGAAAGGUUGGGUGGCUGUUUCUCCCUCCGUCUACAAGACUGGAGUCACCCACCUGAUCAGCGGCCUCUUGACAGAGCUGAGGAAACAUCCUGAGGACCACUGGGGACAAUGGUGGAAAUUUCACCUGCAAAUUACAUCGGUCGAAAAAGAAUGCAAGUCAAAGAGCCAGAGAAGGCAGUGCCCAAUGUUGUAAAUCUCGUCGAAGCUGAUUAUUCCUACUGGACCCUGGGCUACGCCAUUUCCCUGGAAGGAGCACAGAAGCUUGUCGGAGCCGAUCCCUUUGGGAAGAUGUUGCCAGUGGAUGAGUUUCUGCCAAUCAUGUACAACAAGCAUCCUGUGGCUGAGUACAAGGAGUAUUAUGAGUCCAGGGACUUGAAAGCCUUCUCCGCAGAGCCUCUGCUCAUCUACCCUACGCACUACACAGGCCAGCCAGGCUAUCUGAGCGACACAGAAACGUCAACCAUCUGGGACAAUGAGACAGUGGCCACUGACUGGGACAGGACACACUCCUGGAAAUCCCGGAAGCAAGGACACAUCCGCAGCACCGCCAAGAACACGGAAGCACUUCCACCGCCAACUUCCCUGGACACUGUGCCUUCAAGAGACGAACUCUGAAAGCUUCCUGGGUGUGUGGUCUGCAAGGUUCAUCACUGUCUGGAUUUUCUAAAGGGCUACUCAUCUGUUUGCUCCAGUUUGGGGUUUUGUUUUGUAGAGAUGGCAGUCAUCUAAUCAAGUGGUUUGAUGUGACUCAUCAAAAUUAUAUCAUUUGUAUAGUGAAGAACAGAGAAAUUAAAAACCAAAUUCCCUAGGAAGCCAUUACUGGAAUAUCUAGGUUAAACUUCAGUCCAAAUGCCCAGUUCUGCUCACUAGCUAGAGAAUGCGGUUAGCCACACUGGUGUGGCAACAUGGCUCAUAUUCUCAUCCAAGAAAUGGCACCCCAAGCUGUCACAUCAGUAAGUGAGCAGUCAACACAGACAAGCCAGUGGACCUUGUUUACUAAUCUAAGUGGUCCAUUUUAUGUGGCAGAUGUGACCCUGAAAUCAUCAAGCCAUCUAGACUACAUUUAUUCAUCUAAUUGAUGUGACCUUGAAAACUGUACUAUGUAACAAGUGUCUGGGAAUGGGGAAACCAAACCAUUAAUUGGGCUUUUAUUCAAAGGAGCUCUGUCAUGAGUUUGUUGCAAAGUGGAUGUUUUCUUCUUGGCUUUAUUAUCCCAUGGAGUGAGAGCUGGAGCGAUGGCUCAGUGGUUAUUAUCCAAUGGAGUACGUAACUGGCUUGGGUAGCGACAUGGGCUCUUGACCAUCAUGGCAGCUAGAGUGUUCAUCAAAAUGUCUAGGUGCCAUGUGGCUAUAAUAUUUAGAUAUUUAUGGGGGAAAGAUCUAAACCCUUGGCAUUUGUAUUGUGGCUUAAGUCCAAUAUGUCUAUUUAUAAAAAACUGUAAUAUAUACAGGUUGUGAGGGAUGGGGUGACCCAGAACCUCACACCUUAUAUGUCACCCCUUCGCCUGGGGAGGAACUGCAGGUGUGAGUGUAAUAAGUCACUGUUGAUGAGUUUAAUAAGUCACUGUUGAGGGUCAGAAUACAUUUCAGCCUCACACUUGUCCUCGUUUUGGAUUUUCAUUAUAUUCUGAAUUAUUUAUUUUACCAAAGUGGAAAAACCAUCGUCUGUAGGGUGAAGCAAGCAGAGGAACAGAUGUCUCAGACUCUCACUGCACACUGGGCAAUGUCAGUAUUGACACGUGAGUCUGCGCAUCUGAAUUGCCUGAAUUUCCCAGCUUGGCUUUUGCAGGGAAGACCGCUGGUGAGAAGCUAACCAGUUAGGAGUAACUUAUUCUCCAGUGGAUAUAUAAGACACUGGCCUAGACAAUAGAUUUAAGUCAACGAUCCACAGCUCUCAGAGCCAAAAAUCCUAAUUAGACACCUUUCUCCAAAAAAGUCCCCUAAAACUUUUUCCUAAUUCUUCAUAGGUAAUUUAAUGUCAGGUGCAAUGCUGGACUGUGUCACACACAGUGUCAGGAUUCCCAGCCAGCUGUUGAGAGUGCUUGUGGUGCUUCACCUCAGCCACCCUUCCUUCCUGGGUAUGAUUCAGGCUUCUUGACUGAAGCUGAGAAACCAGGCUUAUCCAGCCCCAGCUUGUGUCUUCUCAUCUAGAGAAAAAGAGAAGAGCAUUAAGGAGCUCAUGAGGAACCCUAAGUGGUUCCUAAGGUCUCCUUGGGUGUUCGGUAUUUUGUUUGUGAUUUGAAUGUGUGCAAGAAUGCCUGGCUUUAACUGUGUAUUUUAUAGGAGUGGGAGGUGGCUGGGGCACUGGAAGUGAAGGGAGACUGAGUUAUGUUUUGUGUUGUUGUUGUUUUUGUUGUUUUCGUUUCUGUUGCUGUCUUAAUGGGUAACUUUCUCCCGUUUGCCCUGUCAGCUGGUCUGACGGAUUUAAGAAUUUUCAUUCUUAAAAGACAUUGGAUUUCAAAGUUUGAAUUCUAGAUUAGGACCUUUUCUAACUGUGAAUAAAGUUCUGGUUCUGUUAGUCUAGCCCAGCCUGUGUUUCUGCCUGCUCAGAUUUGAGUCCCUUGUAAUAUUCUUGUGAACUAUUACGAACUGCGAAUCUAGCACUUUAAAAAGCCAUCUUUUUAGCAAUCCAGAUAGCUUGCCAAGCCUCCCUUCUGCUCUUCAACUUAGACACUGGCCAUUGCGGUGAGUGACACUUGAGGCCUUCGGUACAGAGCUCUGUCUCUGGCCCUGGAGCCCGCUCUUGGUGCCUGAGAGGCUGAAGCCCAUGCAGAUUCCUCUCAGGAUCCAAACUGUGAUCUUCUGAGGGAAAAGCCUGACCUUGAUAGUGUAAGCACUGCCCUGUGGGCUGCCCCCUGCAGUCUGCAGAAGACUCAUCCUUGGCAUCCCUUGGGCACUUGAAGGAGUGGGCAUCCACAUACCCUGGUCUGUCUUGCUGUACUGUUUCAGCAUAGGGAAGAGACCAGCUGCCUUCUGGAGCUCUCCAUAUAAAUAAAAGCAAAUGUUCUAAAUUCCUAAA